CACGUAGGGACCGAGCGUUGUCCGGAUUUAUUGGGCGUAAAGAGCGCGUAGGCGGCCGAGUAAGUCCGACGUGAAAUCUGGAGGCUCAACCUCCAGCGGUCGUUGGAAACUACUCGGCUAGAGUCCGGAAGAGGAGAGUGGAAUUCCUGGUGUAGCGGUGAAAUGCGCAGAUAUCAGGAAGAACACCGAUGGCGAAAGCAGCUCUCUGGGACGGUACUGACGCUGAGGCGCGAAAGCGUGGGGAGCGAACAGG
This 253-nucleotide ribosomal RNA is filed under the name uncultured bacterium. Its description in RNAcentral is "partial 16S ribosomal RNA". It matches the Rfam family "Bacterial small subunit ribosomal RNA", at positions 524 to 776 of the family's 1533-position model. The record is from RNAcentral.